Molecule: ribosomal RNA, 743 nt
Filed under: uncultured Planctomycetota bacterium
Lineage: Bacteria; Pseudomonadati; Planctomycetota
Description: bacterial SSU rRNA
Rfam family: Bacterial small subunit ribosomal RNA
Source: RNAcentral
CUGCGGGCUUGCUCGCAGGGGGAAGUGGCGAAAGGGGCAGUAAUGCGUGGGUAACCUACCCCCUGGACCGGAAUAGCCCUGAGAAAUCAGGGGUAAUGCCGGGAGAAGUAGCGAGGUCGCAUGAUCUUGCUACCAAAGGGUCCGCCGCCGGGGGAGGGGCUCACGUGGUAUUAUGCUAGUUGGUGGGGUAAUGGCCCACCAAGGCUAUGAUGCCUAGCAGGUGUGAGAGCACGACCUGCGCCACUGGCACUGGGACACUGGCCAGACACCUACGGGUGGCUGCAGUCGAGAAUCUUCGGCAAUGGGCGCAAGCCUGACCGAGCGACGCCGCGUGUGUGAUGAAGGCCUUCGGGUUGUAAAGCACUGUCGAGGGGGAUCAAGGCGCAAGCUUGAGAGAUCCCUGGAGGAAGCACGGGCUAAGUUCGUGCCAGCAGCCGCGGUAAGACGAACCGUGCGAACGUUGUUCGGAAUCACUGGGCUUAAAGGGCGCGUAGGCGGAUGAUCAAGUCGGUGGUGAAAUCCUCUCGCUUAACGAGAGAAUUGCCUUCGAUACUGAUCGUCUCGAGCAAGGUAGGGGUGCGUGGAACUUCCGGUGGAGCGGUGAAAUGCGUAGAGAUCGGAAGGAACGCCGGUGGCGAAAGCGACGCACUGGACCUUUUCUGACGCUGAGGCGCGAAAGCCAGGGGAGCGAACGGGAUUAGAUACCCCGGUAGUCCUGGCCCUAAACGAUGGGCACUAAGUAG